RNAcentral lists this ribosomal RNA (545 nucleotides) under uncultured Enterorhabdus sp. RNAcentral's name for it is "bacterial SSU rRNA". It matches the Rfam family "Bacterial small subunit ribosomal RNA", at positions 505 to 1058 of the family's 1533-position model. The record is from RNAcentral. Lineage: Bacteria; Bacillati; Actinomycetota; Coriobacteriia; Eggerthellales; Eggerthellaceae.
GUGCCAGCCGCGGCGGUAACACGUAGGGGGCGAGCGUUAUCCGGAUUCAUUGGGCGUAAAGCGCGCGUAGGCGGCCCGCCAAGCAGAACCUCUAACCCCGGGGCCCAACCCCGGGCCGGGUUCUGGACUGGCGGGCUCGAGUCCGGUAGAGGAAGGCGGAAUUCCCGGUGUAGCGGUGAAAUGCGCAGAUAUCGGGAAGAACACCGAUGGCGAAGGCAGCCUUCUGGGCCGCGACUGACGCUGAGGCGCGAAAGCUGGGGGAGCGAACAGGGAUUAGAUACCCUGGUAGUCCCAGCCGUAAACGAUGGACGCUAGGUGUGGGGGAUGACCCUCCGUGCCGAAGCCAACGCAUUAAGCGUCCCGCCUGGGGAGUACGGCCGCAAGGCUAAAACUCAAAGGAAUUGACGGGGCCCGCACAAGCAGCGGAGCAUGUGGCUUAAUUCGAAGCAACGCGAAGAACCUUACCAGGGCUUGACAUGCGCAUGAAGCCGGGAGACCCGGUGGCCGAGAGGAGUGCGCGCAGGUGGUGCAGUGGCUGUCGUCAG